AUCCCCCAGGGGUCUUGUUAAAAUGCAGAUUCAGUUUUGGCGGGGCUAGGGCAUGGCUCCAGACUCUGCAUUUCUAACAAGUUUCCAGGGGAUGCCCA
This is a non-coding RNA of Macaca mulatta (Rhesus monkey), 98 nucleotides long. Lineage: Eukaryota; Metazoa; Chordata; Mammalia; Primates; Cercopithecidae. The record is from Rfam.